UCCUAAGGUAGCGAAAUUCCUUGUCGGGUAAGUUCCGACCUGCACGAAUGGCGUAACGACUUCCCCACUGUCUCGACCAGGAGCUCGGCGAAAUUGCAGUACGAGUAAAGAUGCUCGUUAAGCGCAGAAGGACGAAAAGACCCCGGGACCUUUACUAUACCUUGGUAUUGGCAUUCGGUGUGGAUUGUGUAGCAUAGGCGGGAGGCCGAGAGGCGCGGUCGCCAGAUCGCGCGGAGCCGUAAGGUGAAAUACCGCUCUGUUCGCAUUGGAUGUCUAACCUCGAACAGUCAUCCUGUUCAGGGACAGUGCCUGGCGGGUAGUUUAACUGGGGCGGUUGCCUCCCAAAGAGUAACGGAGGCGCCCAAAGGUCCGCUCAGCCCGGUUGGCAAUCGGGUGGCGAGUGCAAGUGCACAAGCGGGCUUGACUGCGAGGACGACGGUCCGAGCAGGGACGAAAGUCGGGACUAGUGAUCCGGUGCCGGUGUACGGACGCGGCAUCGCUCAACGGAUAAAAGGUACCCCGGGGAUAACAGGCUGAUCAUUCCCAAGAGUCCAUAUCGACGGGAUGGUUUGGCACCUCGAUGUCGGCUCGUCGCAUCCUGGGGCUGGAGCAGGUCCCAAGGGUUCGGCUGUUCGCCGAUUAAAGCGGCACGCGAGCUGGGUUCAGAACGUCGUGAGACAGUUUGGUCUCUAUCCUCUGCGCUCGUUGGAAUGCUGAGGAGGCCUGCCCAUAGUACGAGAGGACCUGGGUGGACGAACCUCUGGUAUGCCGGUUGUCACGCCAGUGGCACGGCCGGUUGGCUACGUUCGGAAGGGAUAACCGCUGAAAGCAUCUAAGCGGGAAGCCUGCUCCAAGAUAAGCAUUCCGUGGAACCUUCGAGUUCCUGUAGUCCCCAUGCAGAACACGUGGUCGAUAGGCCGGACGUGGAAGCCCCGCGAGGGGUGGAGCCGACCGGUACUAACGGACGAAAGGCAACACUAA
Molecule: ribosomal RNA, 981 nt
Filed under: human gut metagenome
Description: bacterial LSU rRNA
Rfam family: Bacterial large subunit ribosomal RNA
Source: RNAcentral